CAGUGUGAUAAUGAUUAGUUAUCCUCUUUUCAUUUUUAAAUUGAAAAAACUUGAAAUUCACAUAAUAUUUCGUUCGAAAUAUUUAAGAAACUAAAGCAAUAACAAAACGCCGUAUACUUCCUCCUGUCAAAUGUAUGACGUCACAUGCGGCAAUGCAGAUGCGCGGAUUUUUGAAAACAUGACCUCGUUUCAAUUGAUUUUCUCCACAAUAAGCUUAAAACUGCAAACCGGCCAGCUCCGAGCUCUCUGCCGUUCAUAUCUUAUUCACAAACCUGCAUAAUCACGCCGCUUCUUCCGUUAAAUUAGUAUCAGUGUGCUUCGUCCCGUCUUCCGAUAAUCCCAUGUGAAAAAACCCGUGUUUUCUUACUUUUUACUAAUGAUGGAGAGUGUUAUAGUGCCUACAGAGUGUCUUCACAGCCAGGAGAGGCGGUACACGCCAGCAGAGAACCCGUAUAAUAUAGAUUUUUGGAAGGAAGUACGGCGACGCUGGCUUGUGUUUGGGGUGCUAGCAGCCAUCGCUCUGGCCGUGAUCUCGCCGCGACUCGGCGCGCCCGGAGGCAAACAUGCAUGCUCACUCUUAGAUCAUUCUAGAACGCAUUGCACCCAUCCGGCCAUGUACUUGAAUCAGUUUUUCUUGGCCCCCUACACGCUGAGUAUCUCUCCUGGGUGCCAUCAUCCGUGAUCUACUUUGGCGCGGGCGCGCGGCUGCGGCGCCCCAGGGCUCCAGCGAAGGCCCUCCGGCUAGCUCUUGCGACGGCUUUACACGCUCAUGUCGCGGCCCCGGCUUUGGCUGUGUGCGCUGUCACUGUGUUUAGUGCAGCGCUACACGGAUCUGUCAUCAAUGGCGCACUGCUAUCAUCAGUGGGGUCCGGUUGCGGAUGGUUGUCACUAGCCCUCGCGCCGCGGGCCGCGCUCCCUGCCGCCGCUAGCUACACAGCCUCUCUCCUAGCCACGCCACUGAGUGCCUUGAUACUUGUACGUAUUAUCAGCGCACUGCUAUCAUCAGUGGGGUCCGGUUGCGGGUGGUUGUCACUAGCCCUGGCGCCGCGGGCCGCGCUCCCUGCCGCCGCUAGCUACACAGCCUCUCUCCUAGCCACGCCACUGAGUGCCUUGAUUCUUGUACGUAUUAUCAGCGCACUGCUAUCAUCAGUGGG
Leguminivora glycinivorella is the source of this 1154-nucleotide long non-coding RNA. RefSeq lists it as uncharacterized. The record is from RefSeq and is a predicted model, not a curated record. Lineage: Eukaryota; Metazoa; Arthropoda; Insecta; Lepidoptera; Tortricidae. The transcript is spliced from 3 exons.